RNA transcript from Cucumis melo (muskmelon), 1717 nucleotides. RefSeq lists it as uncharacterized. The record is from RefSeq and is a predicted model, not a curated record. NCBI's taxonomy places the organism in Eukaryota, Viridiplantae, Streptophyta, Magnoliopsida, Cucurbitales, Cucurbitaceae. The transcript is spliced from 3 exons.
UCUCCAUUGAAGCUUUUCAUUGCACUCUAUCGUCUCUUGAUUUCUCUCAAGUUUUCUUCAUCACUGAUCUCAAUUUCUCACUCUUUCGUCUCUCAGCCGGUCUCUCCAUUUCUGUUCGCUCAAGAGCCAUCCAUCUCUUGCGCUCUCUUCACCAUUGCCAUCUCUCUGUCUGUUCUUCAAGUGUGGGUGUCGUUUGUGAGAUGAAAAAUGAAGUUUGGUUUUUUCCUGAUCUGUGAGGUGGAAUGACAUUUGGAAUGUGAUGAAUGGAACUUUCGCAUCCAGUUCCUUACGUGCUGCGUUUUCGCACUGUGUACAGCAAGUGCGAAGCUAUGACUACCAUCACUACCUCUGCCUCCUCGAACUUCCCCCUGCUAUGAGAAAGGCUGCAUUUGCACUUCGAGCAUUUAAUGUUGAAACAUCGAGAGCCAUGGAUGUUGCUACUGAUCCCAGGAUAGGUCUUAUGCGACUUGUGUGGUGGCAGGAAGCUAUUGACAAAAUAUAUGCUAGUAAAAAGAUUGAACAUCCAAUAGCGCAAGCCCUUUCAUCUGUGAUAUCGGAGAACAAAAUUAGCAAACUAUGGCUGAAAAGGUCGGUUGAGGCUCGGAUUAAUGAUGCCAGAAGGGAGGACACCGACAUUCCAACAACCAUUGAUGAACUAGAGAAAUAUGCCGAAGAUACUGCAUCAACACUACUCUACAUGACCCUUCAAGCUGGUGGCAUUAGGUCGACAACAGCCGAUCAUGCCGCAUCUCAUAUUGGUAAGGCCAGCGGCCUGCUCUUGUUGCUGAAGUCAUUACCAUAUCAUGCUACUCGAAAUCGCCAUUUUUCUUACAUUCCUGUUAAAGUGGCCGAAAAUCACGGUUUGUUGGCAAAGCAGGGAGUGCAUUUUGAGAUACGCUUGGAUUCAAGAGAGAGCCUAUGUGAUGCAGUUUUUGAGAUGGCUUCAGUAGCGAAUGCUCAUUUGCAAAAAGCUCGAGACUUGGCUGGGACGGUGCCGAGGGAGGCUCUGCCUGUGCUUCUGCAGGCCGUGCCAGCUCAGGUUCUUUUGGAUUCUUUAAGGAAAGUACAGUUUGAUGUUUUUGACCCAAGAUUACAACGUGGAGUUUUGGGUGUUUCUCCUUUGUGGUUUCAAAUGAGAUUGAAGUGGUCUUCUUGGAGGGGAAAAUACUAACAAUAUUUUUCUUUACUCUAGGGAAGAUUUUAUUGUUUAUCCUGUAUUUUCCUCGAGAUUUGUGAAAUUUGGAAUUACCUUUUGGGCUUCGUGGGAGGAUAGAAAUAAGAUUCAUUUUGGCGAGGCUUUGACGACCAUGGAGUACAAAUCCGAAUGCUUUAUCGAACAUGGCUGAAAGCUGGAAGGAUUUCUAAUGCGCCGAUGUUGGACAACCUGAGGAGUCACAGGGGUCUAUUGUCUUCCUGGUGUUCCCUCGACUUUGGUGUGGUCCGAUUAAAAUAUUGACAGUGCUGUCUUCUUCUAUGGGUUUAGGGGCAGUGAGCCAGGACAAUCGUGGUUCUGUUGUGGUGGCUCAAGCGUUGGUGUGCGAUGGGUUUUUAUCUUGUUGAUCUUCACUAUGCCCCUAGGAGAUGUAAUGGUGUUGCCAACAAAUUGGCUAAAUUUGCGUUUUCUUCAAAUUAUUCUUGUACUUGGAUGAAUAGCUAUGUCUCGUAUCUUGACAAGUUUCAAAUGGAAAGUUAAUAAAUGACAAGUUUCUUGGGAGAA